This is a long non-coding RNA of Cyprinus carpio carpio, 504 nucleotides long. NCBI's taxonomy places the organism in Eukaryota, Metazoa, Chordata, Actinopteri, Cypriniformes, Cyprinidae. The record is from Ensembl.
UUUCAACAUCAACCACCACUAAACAAACUACAACAACAGCCACGACAACCUUAGAUGUCCAAUCCAAGACAAGCCUGCCAACCAGCAAAGCAAAGAAAACCCAGACAGCGUUAAAUGUAAUGUCCACUUCUGAAACAACAACAUACAGUAAAACUGAUGUUUUGGUUAAUAAACAACAGAAACAGGGAAAUACAGAGGAAAAUGAGAAUGUUUAUCACCUGUACUGCACAAUCCCUGACUAACCAGUUCACUCAAACACAGAAGAUCACGUGUACAGUUUGGUGAAGAUGCACUGAUGAAUCUCUGGUUUCAUCAUGUACAGCCAUUCAAGUAUCUUUACUUGCACACAAAUAGGUGUUUAUUUACAUUAUUCAGUGUUUGGUAUGAACUAUACUGUGACCUCAGUGAAUAUCCAGAGCAUCUUCUCUGGCAAGCCUCACUAGAGCAAUACUUCAUUGUAAGAAGAGCUUGGGCAUUCAAUAAGAGCUGAACUAAAAAUCUAAC